Molecule: ribosomal RNA, 549 nt
Filed under: uncultured Glomus
Lineage: Eukaryota; Fungi; Glomeromycota; Glomeromycetes; Glomerales; Glomeraceae
Description: SSU rRNA
Rfam family: Eukaryotic small subunit ribosomal RNA
Source: RNAcentral
UUGGAGGGCAAGUCUGGUGCCAGCAGCCGCGGUAAUUCCAGCUCCAAUAGCGUAUAUUAAAGUUGUUGCAGUUAAAAAGCUCGUAGUUGAAUUUCGGGAUCGACGGGUCGGUCGCGCCUCUGGUGUGUACUGGCCCUGUCGGUUUCUCCCUUCUGACGAACCACGAUGUCAUUAAUUUGGUGUCGUGGGGAAUCAGGACUGUUACUUUGAAAAAAUUAGAGUGUUUAAAGCAAGCAUUCGCUUGAAUACAUUAGCAUGGAAUAAUGAAAUAGGACGUUUGAUCUUAUUUUGUUGGUUUCUAAGAUCGACGUAAUGAUUAAUAGGGAUAGUUGGGGGCAUUAGUAUUCAAUUGUCAGAGGUGAAAUUCUUGGAUUUAUUGAAGACUAACUACUGCGGAAGCAUUUGCCAAGGAUGUUUUCAUUAAUCAAGAACGAAAGUUAGGGGAUCGAAGACGAUCAGAUACCGUCGUAGUCUUAACCAUAAACUAUGCCGACUAGGGAUCGGAUGAUGUUAAUUUUUUAAUGACUCAUUCGGCGCCUUACGGGAAAC